Molecule: transfer RNA, 64 nt
Filed under: Camelus bactrianus (Bactrian camel)
Lineage: Eukaryota; Metazoa; Chordata; Mammalia; Artiodactyla; Camelidae
Also listed under: 3 other names
Rfam family: tRNA
About the family: Transfer RNA (tRNA) molecules are approximately 80 nucleotides in length. Their secondary structure includes four short double-helical elements and three loops (D, anti-codon, and T loops). Further hydrogen bonds mediate the characteristic L-shaped molecular structure. tRNAs have two regions of fundamental functional importance: the anti-codon, which is responsible for specific mRNA codon recognition, and the 3' end, to which the tRNAs corresponding amino acid is attached (by aminoacyl-tRNA synthetases). tRNAs cope with the degeneracy of the genetic code in two manners: having more than one tRNA (with a specific anti-codon) for a particular amino acid; and 'wobble' base-pairing, i.e. permitting non-standard base-pairing at the 3rd anti-codon position.
Source: Rfam by way of RNAcentral
GAGGGUAAAGCUCAAGUGGUAGAGUGCAUGCUCAAGGUCCUGGGUUCAAUUCCCAGUACCUCCU